RNAcentral lists this ribosomal RNA (2923 nucleotides) under Klebsiella pneumoniae. RNAcentral's name for it is "23S ribosomal RNA". It matches the Rfam family "Bacterial large subunit ribosomal RNA". Lineage: Bacteria; Pseudomonadati; Pseudomonadota; Gammaproteobacteria; Enterobacterales; Enterobacteriaceae. The record is from RNAcentral.
GGGUUGUGAGGUUAAGCGACUAAGCGUACACGGUGGAUGCCCUGGCAGUCAGAGGCGAUGAAGGACGUGCUAAUCUGCGAAAAGCGUCGGUAAGGUGAUAUGAACCGUUAUAACCGGCGAUGUCCGAAUGGGGAAACCCAGUGUGAUUCGUCACACUAUCGUUAACUGAAUACAUAGGUUAACGAGGCGAACCGGGGGAACUGAAACAUCUAAGUACCCCGAGGAAAAGAAAUCAACCGAGAUUCCCCCAGUAGCGGCGAGCGAACGGGGAGCAGCCCAGAGUCUGAAUCAGCUUGUGUGUUAGUGGAACGGUCUGGAAAGUCCGACGGUACAGGGUGAUAGUCCCGUACACCAAAAUGCACAGGCUGUGAACUCGAAGAGUAGGGCGGGACACGUGGUAUCCUGUCUGAAUAUGGGGGGACCAUCCUCCAAGGCUAAAUACUCCUGACUGACCGAUAGUGAACCAGUACCGUGAGGGAAAGGCGAAAAGAACCCCGGCGAGGGGAGUGAAAAAGAACCUGAAACCGUGUACGUACAAGCAGUGGGAGCACCUUCGGGUGUGACUGCGUACCUUUUGUAUAAUGGGUCAGCGACUUAUAUUCUGUAGCAAGGUUAACCGUAUAGGGGAGCCGCAGGGAAACCGAGUCUUAACUGGGCGUUAAGUUGCAGGGUAUAGACCCGAAACCCGGUGAUCUAGCCAUGGGCAGGUUGAAGGUUGGGUAACACUAACUGGAGGACCGAACCGACUAAUGUUGAAAAAUUAGCGGAUGACUUGUGGCUGGGGGUGAAAGGCCAAUCAAACCGGGAGAUAGCUGGUUCUCCCCGAAAGCUAUUUAGGUAGCGCCUCGUGAACUCAUCUUCGGGGGUAGAGCACUGUUUCGGCUAGGGGGUCAUCCCGACUUACCAACCCGAUGCAAACUACGAAUACCGAAGAAUGUUAUCACGGGAGACACACGGCGGGUGCUAACGUCCGUCGUGAAGAGGGAAACAACCCAGACCGCCAGCUAAGGUCCCAAAGUCAUGGUUAAGUGGGAAACGAUGUGGGAAGGCACAGACAGCCAGGAUGUUGGCUUAGAAGCAGCCAUCAUUUAAAGAAAGCGUAAUAGCUCACUGGUCGAGUCGGCCUGCGCGGAAGAUGUAACGGGGCUAAACCAUGCACCGAAGCUGCGGCAGCGACACUAUGUGUUGUUGGGUAGGGGAGCGUUCUGUAAGCCUGCGAAGGUGUGCUGUGAGGCAUGCUGGAGGUAUCAGAAGUGCGAAUGCUGACAUAAGUAACGAUAAAGCGGGUGAAAAGCCCGCUCGCCGGAAGACCAAGGGUUCCUGUCCAACGUUAAUCGGGGCAGGGUGAGUCGACCCCUAAGGCGAGGCCGAAAGGCGUAGUCGAUGGGAAACAGGUUAAUAUUCCUGUACUUGGUGUUACUGCGAAGGGGGGACGGAGAAGGCUAUGUUAGCCGGGCGACGGUUGUCCCGGUUUAAGCAUGUAGGCUGAUUGUCCAGGCAAAUCCGGAUAAUCAAGGCUGAGGUGUGAUGACGAGGCACUACGGUGCUGAAGUAACAAAUGCCCUGCUUCCAGGAAAAGCCUCUAAGCAUCAGGUAACAUUAAAUCGUACCCCAAACCGACACAGGUGGUCAGGUAGAGAAUACCAAGGCGCUUGAGAGAACUCGGGUGAAGGAACUAGGCAAAAUGGUGCCGUAACUUCGGGAGAAGGCACGCUGGUGUGUAGGUGAAGUCCCUGCGGAUGGAGCUGAGACCAGUCGAAGAUACCAGCUGGCUGCAACUGUUUAUUAAAAACACAGCACUGUGCAAACACGAAAGUGGACGUAUACGGUGUGACGCCUGCCCGGUGCCGGAAGGUUAAUUGAUGGGGUUAUCCGUAAGGAGAAGCUCUUGAUCGAAGCCCCGGUAAACGGCGGCCGUAACUAUAACGGUCCUAAGGUAGCGAAAUUCCUUGUCGGGUAAGUUCCGACCUGCACGAAUGGCGUAAUGAUGGCCAGGCUGUCUCCACCCGAGACUCAGUGAAAUUGAACUCGCUGUGAAGAUGCAGUGUACCCGCGGCAAGACGGAAAGACCCCGUGAACCUUUACUAUAGCUUGACACUGAACAUUGAGCCUUGAUGUGUAGGAUAGGUGGGAGGCUUUGAAGCGUGGACGCCAGUCUGCGUGGAGCCAACCUUGAAAUACCACCCUUUAAUGUUUGAUGUUCUAACGUUGGCCCCUGACCGGGGUUGCGGACAGUGUCUGGUGGGUAGUUUGACUGGGGCGGUCUCCUCCCAAAGCGUAACGGAGGAGCACGAAGGUUAGCUAAUCCUGGUCGGACAUCAGGAGGUUAGUGCAAUGGCAUAAGCUAGCUUGACUGCGAGCGUGACGGCGCGAGCAGGUGCGAAAGCAGGUCAUAGUGAUCCGGUGGUUCUGAAUGGAAGGGCCAUCGCUCAACGGAUAAAAGGUACUCCGGGGAUAACAGGCUGAUACCGCCCAAGAGUUCAUAUCGACGGCGGUGUUUGGCACCUCGAUGUCGGCUCAUCACAUCCUGGGGCUGAAGUAGGUCCCAAGGGUAUGGCUGUUCGCCAUUUAAAGUGGUACGCGAGCUGGGUUUAGAACGUCGUGAGACAGUUCGGUCCCUAUCUGCCGUGGGCGCUGGAGAAUUGAGGGGGGCUGCUCCUAGUACGAGAGGACCGGAGUGGACGCAUCACUGGUGUUCGGGUUGUCAUGCCAAUGGCACUGCCCGGUAGCUAAAUGCGGAAGAGAUAAGUGCUGAAAGCAUCUAAGCACGAAACUUGCCCCGAGAUGAGUUCUCCCUGAGACUUUAAGUCUCCUGAAGGAACGUUAAAGACGAUGACGUUGAUAGGCCGGGUGUGUAAGCGCAGCGAUGCGUUGAGCUAACCGGUACUAAUGAACCGUGAGGCUUAACCUUACAACGCCGAAG